RNAcentral lists this ribosomal RNA (493 nucleotides) under uncultured bacterium. RNAcentral's name for it is "bacterial SSU rRNA". It matches the Rfam family "Bacterial small subunit ribosomal RNA", at positions 903 to 1397 of the family's 1533-position model. The record is from RNAcentral.
AAAUGAAUAGACGGGGGCCCGCACAAGCAGCGGAGCAUGUGGUUUAAUUCGAAGCAACGCGAAGAACCUUACCAAGGCUUGACAUCCUCUGACGUACAUAGAAAUAUGUAUUCCCUUCGGGGCAGAGAGACAGGUGGUGCAUGGUUGUCGUCAGCUCGUGUCGUGAGAUGUUGGGUUAAGUCCCGCAACGAGCGCAACCCUUAUCAAUAGUUGCCAACGAGUAAAGUCGGGAACUCUAUUGAGACCGCCGGGGAUAACUCGGAGGAAGGUGGGGAUGACGUCAAAUCAUCAUGCCCCUUAUGUCUUGGGCUACACACGUGCUACAAUGGUCGGUACAAAGAGCGGCGAACUCGCAAGAGCAAGCGAAUCUCAAAAAGCCGAUCUCAGUUCGGAUUGUGGGCUGCAACCCGCCCACAUGAAGUCGGAGUUGCUAGUAAUCGCGAAUCAGCAUGUCGCGGUGAAUGCGUUCCCGGGCCUUGUACACACCGCCCGU